This 279-nucleotide ribosomal RNA is filed under the name uncultured Glomus. Its description in RNAcentral is "partial 18S small subunit ribosomal RNA". It matches the Rfam family "Eukaryotic small subunit ribosomal RNA", at positions 591 to 876 of the family's 1831-position model. Lineage: Eukaryota; Fungi; Glomeromycota; Glomeromycetes; Glomerales; Glomeraceae. The record is from RNAcentral.
CCAAUAGCGUAUAUUAAAGUUGCUGCAGUUAAAAAGCUCGUAGUUGAAUUUCGGGAUCAAUAUGUCGGUCGUGCCUCGGUACGUACUGGCUUAUUGGUUUCUCCUUUCUGAAGAACCAUGAUGUCAUUUAUUUGGUGUCGUGGGAAAUCAGGACUGUUACUUUGAAAAAAUUAGAGUGUUUAAAGCAGGCUCACGCUUGAAUACAUUAGCAUGGAAUAAUGAAAUAGGACGUUUGAUUCUAUUUUGUUGGUUUCUAGGAUCGACGUAAUGAUUAAUAGG